This is a small nucleolar RNA of Sugiyamaella lignohabitans, 103 nucleotides long. It matches the Rfam family "A. fumigatus snoRNA Afu_264". Lineage: Eukaryota; Fungi; Ascomycota; Dipodascomycetes; Dipodascales; Trichomonascaceae. The record is from Rfam.
AGACAAAAUGAUGAUCCAAAUUUUAUAUGUUUUUCUGGCAUCUCUAAUGCUAGGGGCCGAUACCCUCGGCCUCGAUGAAUUUAACCUUGACUAGUAUCUGAUU